UUUUAUCGGAGAGUUUGAUCCUGGCUCAGGACGAACGCUGGCGGCGUGCCUAAUACAUGCAAGUCGAGCGGAUUGAUGGGAGCUUGCUCCCUGAUAUCAGCGGCGGACGGGUGAGUAACACGUGGGUAACCUGCCUGUAAGACUGGGAUAACUCCGGGAAACCGGGGCU
Molecule: ribosomal RNA, 169 nt
Filed under: Rossellomorea vietnamensis
Lineage: Bacteria; Bacillati; Bacillota; Bacilli; Caryophanales; Bacillaceae
Description: Bacillus vietnamensis partial 16S ribosomal RNA
Rfam family: Bacterial small subunit ribosomal RNA
Source: RNAcentral